RNAcentral lists this ribosomal RNA (462 nucleotides) under uncultured gamma proteobacterium 400m-FREE-26. RNAcentral describes it as "partial 16S ribosomal RNA". Lineage: Bacteria; Pseudomonadati; Pseudomonadota; Gammaproteobacteria. The record is from RNAcentral.
GGUUACCUUGUUACGACUUCACCCCAGUCAUGAAACACAAAGUGGUAAUCGUCCUCCCGAAGGUUAGACUAACUACUUCUUUUGCAUCCCACUCCCAUGGUGUGACGGGCGGUGUGUACAAGGCCCGGGAACGUAUUCACCGCAGUAUGCUGACCUGCGAUUACUAGCGAUUCCGACCUCAUGGAGUCGAGUUGCAGACUCCAAUCCGGACUACGACAUUCUUUAAGGGGUCCGCUCCACAUCACUGUCUUGCUUCCCUCUGUAAAUGCCAUUGUAGCACGUGUGUAGCCCUACACGUAAGGGCCAUGAUGACUUGACGUCGUCCCCACCUUCCUCCGGUUUGUCACCGGCAGUCUCCUUAGAGUGCCCAACUGAAUGCUGGCAACUAACGACAAGGGUUGCGCUCGUUGCGGGACUUAACCCAGACAUCUCACGACACGAGCUGACAACAGCCAUGCAGCA